CAGGGAGACAACAAAAUGUUUAAUAUUAUUAUUUUGUCACCUUAGGUCGAUCGGUAUCUCACAUUCUUAAUUUAUUAAGGAUUUCAUUUCCUAAGUUUUUUCUAGGUCACACCCAUUAUUUUUCCUGGGCCAUUAGCUCAGGUGGUUAGAGCGCACCCCUGAUAAGGGUGAGGUCCCUGGUUCAAGUCCAGGAUGGCCCAUAUCUCUAUGUUGGGGGUAUAGCUCAGUUGGUAGAGCGCCUGCUUUGCAAGCAGGAUGUCAGCGGUUCGAGUCCGCUUACCUCCACUGAUUACCACCUCUUACAUAAUCUGAUAAAGGAAAUGUUUUGAGUUGUGAUCAAAUUCUGAACGAUUCUAGCUUCCUAAUGAAAUCAUUAAGAUGCUGGACUCAUUGAAUUAAUUUCAUUGUUUUCAGAGAACCUUGACAACUGCAUAGAUUAUUUUUAAAGACAAUAAGCAUCUUUAAUGAUGCAGAUUUAUUAUUUGUGCGAAUGCAUUAAAUAACAAUUCUAUUAAGCUGAUGCUUCAAUUAUUGAAGUUAUU
RNAcentral lists this transfer RNA (542 nucleotides) under uncultured Prochlorococcus sp. Its description in RNAcentral is "partial 16S-23S ribosomal RNA intergenic spacer". The stretch from base 213 to 285 matches the Rfam family "tRNA". Lineage: Bacteria; Bacillati; Cyanobacteriota; Cyanophyceae; Synechococcales; Prochlorococcaceae. The record is from RNAcentral.